RNAcentral lists this long non-coding RNA (231 nucleotides) under Oryza sativa aromatic subgroup. RNAcentral describes it as "lncRNA OsARC_03g0024240". Lineage: Eukaryota; Viridiplantae; Streptophyta; Magnoliopsida; Poales; Poaceae. The record is from RNAcentral.
AUGGGAGAACAUGCUGAAGUGGCCACUGCCCAUGUCCCAAACGGCGUACUUCUUGGUGCGCGUUGUGGUGUCGGUACCCGUAUUGUGAUUGCCACCACUAGCAUACUGAUGAUCCAUGGAUCAAGAUCAUUCCCAGCGCAUGAUAUGAUCAAAAUAAACCGUGACAAGAAAUUGGAGAACGUUGUAGGCUCCGGUGGUGUACAUGAACAUGGCCUAGGCUUCCUUCUUGCG